GACGAACGCUGGCGGCGUGCCUAAUACAUGCAAGUAGAACGCUGAAGGAGGAGCUUGCUUCUCUGGAUGAGUUGCGAACGGGUGAGUAACGCGUAGGUAACCUGCCUGGUAGCGGGGGAUAACUAUUGGAAACGAUAGCUAAUACCGCAUAACAGUAGAUAUCGCAUGAUAUCUACUUGAAAGGUGCAAUUGCAUCACUACCAGAUGGACCUGCGUUGUAUUAGCUAGUUGGUGAGGUAACGGCUCACCAAGGCGACGAUACAUAGCCGACCUGAGAGGGUGAUCGGCCACACUGGGACUGAGACACGGCCCAGACUCCUACGGGAGGCAGCAGUAGGGAAUCUUCGGCAAUGGACGGAAGUCUGACCGAGCAACGCCGCGUGAGUGAAGAAGGUUUUCGGAUCGUAAAGCUCGGUUGUAAGAGAAGAACGAGUGUGAGAGUGGAAAGUUCACACUGUGACGGUAGCUUACCAGAAAGGGACGGCUAACUACGUG
RNAcentral lists this ribosomal RNA (495 nucleotides) under uncultured bacterium. Its description in RNAcentral is "partial 16S ribosomal RNA". It matches the Rfam family "Bacterial small subunit ribosomal RNA", at positions 28 to 507 of the family's 1533-position model. The record is from RNAcentral.